This 74-nucleotide transfer RNA is filed under the name Pseudomonadota bacterium. RNAcentral describes it as "Proteobacteria bacterium tRNA-Gln". It matches the Rfam family "tRNA". From Rfam's summary of the family: Transfer RNA (tRNA) molecules are approximately 80 nucleotides in length. Their secondary structure includes four short double-helical elements and three loops (D, anti-codon, and T loops). Lineage: Bacteria; Pseudomonadati; Pseudomonadota. The record is from RNAcentral.
UCCCCGGUCGUCUAACGGUAGGACAACGGGUUCUGGCCCCGUCAAUUAAGGUUCGAAUCCUUACCGGGGAUCCA